GACGAACGCUGGCGGCGUGCUUAACACAUGCCAGUCGAACGGAAAGGCCCUGCUUUUGUGGGGUGCUCGAGUGGCGAACGGGUGAGUAACACGUGAGUAACCUGCCCUUGACUUUGGGAUAACUUCAGGAAACUGGGGCUAAUACCGGAUAGGAGCUCCUGCUGCAUGGUGGGGGUUGGAAAGUUUCGGCGGUUGGGGAUGGACUCGCGGCUUAUCAGCUUGUUGGUGGGGUAGUGGCUUACCAAGGGUUUGACGGGUAGCCGGCCUGAGAGGGUGACCGGCGACAAGGGGACUGAGAGAGGGCGCAGACGCGAACGGGAGGCAGCAGUGGGGAAUAUUGCACAGUGGGCGGAAGCCUGAGGAAGAAACGCCGCGUGCGGGAUGACGGCCUUCGGGUUGUAAACCGCUUUAGCCUGUGACGAAGCGUGAGUGACGGUAAUGGGUAAAGAAGCACCGGCUAACUACGUG
This 468-nucleotide ribosomal RNA is filed under the name uncultured bacterium. Its description in RNAcentral is "partial 16S ribosomal RNA". It matches the Rfam family "Bacterial small subunit ribosomal RNA", at positions 28 to 507 of the family's 1533-position model. The record is from RNAcentral.